Molecule: transfer RNA, 72 nt
Filed under: Camelus bactrianus (Bactrian camel)
Lineage: Eukaryota; Metazoa; Chordata; Mammalia; Artiodactyla; Camelidae
Also listed under: 2 other names
Rfam family: tRNA
About the family: Transfer RNA (tRNA) molecules are approximately 80 nucleotides in length. Their secondary structure includes four short double-helical elements and three loops (D, anti-codon, and T loops).
Source: Rfam by way of RNAcentral
AAGGGUGUAGCUCAAGUGGUAGAGCUUAUGCUUAGCAGGCACAAGGUCUGGGUUCGAUCCCCAGUACCUCCU